This 481-nucleotide ribosomal RNA is filed under the name uncultured bacterium. RNAcentral's name for it is "partial 16S ribosomal RNA". It matches the Rfam family "Bacterial small subunit ribosomal RNA", at positions 28 to 506 of the family's 1533-position model. The record is from RNAcentral.
GACGAACGCUGGCGGCGUGCUUAACACAUGCAAGUCGAACGAUGAAGAAGAGAAACGCGAACUUCGGUUCAAAUUUCACUUCGGAUUAGUGGCAGACGGGUGAGUAACGCGUGAGCAACCUACCUCUUACAAAGGGAUAGCCUCGGGAAACCGUGAUUAAUACCAUAUGACACAUUCAUAAGGCAUCUUAAGAAUGUUAAAGCUACGGCGGUAAGAGAUGGGCUCGCGUCCCAUUAGCUAGUUGGUGAGGUAACGGCCCACCAAGGGGACGAUGGGUAACCGGCCUGAGAGGGUGAACGGUCACAUUGGAACUGAGACACGGUCCAAACUCCUACGGGAGGCAGCAGUGGGGAAUAUUGCACAAUGGAGGGAACUCUGAUGCAGCGACGCCGCGUGAGCGAUGAAGGAAUUCGUUUCGUAAAGCUCUGUUCUAUGGGAAGAAAAGGACUGUACCAUAGGAGAAAGCCCCGGCUAAAUACGU